CCUGGCUCAGAGCGAACGCUGGCGGCAGGCCUAACACAUGCAAGUCGAACGAACUCUUCGGAGUUAGUGGCGGACGGGUGAGUAACACGUGGGAACGUGCCUUUUGGUUCGGAAUAACUCAGGGAAACUUGUGCUAAUACCGAAUGUGCCCUUCGGGGGAAAGAUUUAUCGCCAUUAGAGCGGCCCGCGUCUGAUUAGCUAGUUGGUGAGGUAAAGGCUCACCAAGGCGACGAUCAGUAGCUGGUCUGAGAGGAUGAUCAGCCACAUUGGGACUGAGACACGGCCCAAACUCCUACGGGAGGCAGCAGUGGGGAAUCUUGCGCAAUGGGCGAAAGCCCUGACGCAGCCAUGCCGCGUGAAUGAUGAAGGUCUUAGGAUUGUAAAAUUCUUUCAGUAGGGACGAUAAUGACGGUACCUACAGAAGAAGCCCCGGCUAACUUCGUGCCAGCAGCCGCGGUAAUACGAAGGGGGCUAGCGUUGCUCGGAAUUACUGGGCGUAAAGGGAGCGUAGGCGGACAUUUAAGUCAGGGGUGAAAUCCCGGGGCUCAACCUCGGAAUUGCCUUUGAUACUGGGUGUCUUGAGUAUGAGAGAGGUAUGUGGAACUCCGAGUGUAGAGGUGAAAUUCGUAGAUAUUCGGAAGAACACCAGUGGCGAAGGCGACAUACUGGCUCAUUACUGACGCUGAGGCUCGAAAGCGUGGGGAGCAAACAGGAUUAGAUACCCUGGUAGUCCACGCCGUAAACGAUGAUUGCUAGUUGUCGGGAUGCAUGCAUUUCGGUGACGCAGCUA
RNAcentral lists this ribosomal RNA (790 nucleotides) under bacterium. RNAcentral's name for it is "bacterial SSU rRNA". It matches the Rfam family "Bacterial small subunit ribosomal RNA", at positions 18 to 854 of the family's 1533-position model. The record is from RNAcentral.